This 66-nucleotide non-coding RNA is filed under the name Ditylum brightwellii. Lineage: Eukaryota; Bacillariophyta; Thalassiosirophyceae; Lithodesmiales; Lithodesmiaceae. The record is from RNAcentral.
AGAAGCAAAAAGGACUGAUGCAAUAGCAAGUUUCAUUUUUUUUUCUUUCUUCUUUGUUUUGCUUUU